AGUGGCGGACGGGUGAGUAACGCGUGGGAAUAUACCUUUUGGUGGGGGACAACAGUUGGAAACGACUGCUAAUACCGCAUACGCCCUUCGGGGGAAAGAUUUAUCGCCAAGAGAUUAGCCCGCGUAAGAUUAGAUAGUUGGUGAGGUAACGGCUCACCAAGUCUACGAUCUUUAGCUGGUCUGAGAGGAUGAUCAGCCACACUGGAACUGAGACACGGUCCAGACUCC
RNAcentral lists this ribosomal RNA (228 nucleotides) under uncultured bacterium. RNAcentral describes it as "partial 16S ribosomal RNA". It matches the Rfam family "Bacterial small subunit ribosomal RNA", at positions 94 to 339 of the family's 1533-position model. The record is from RNAcentral.